This is a non-coding RNA of Bos taurus (domestic cattle), 72 nucleotides long. The record is from Rfam. Lineage: Eukaryota; Metazoa; Chordata; Mammalia; Artiodactyla; Bovidae.
UCCCUUGUGGCUUGGCUGGUAAAGAAUCUGCCUGCAAUGCAGGAGACCUGGGUUCGAUCCCUGGGUUGGGAA